GCCGAAAUAGCUCAGUUGGGACAGCGUUAGGCUGUAGAUCUAAAGGUCCAUGGUUCAAUUCCUGGUUUCGGCA
This 73-nucleotide transfer RNA is filed under the name Cordylochernes scorpioides. Its description in RNAcentral is "tRNA-Tyr". It matches the Rfam family "tRNA". Rfam says of the family: Transfer RNA (tRNA) molecules are approximately 80 nucleotides in length. The record is from RNAcentral. Lineage: Eukaryota; Metazoa; Arthropoda; Arachnida; Pseudoscorpiones; Chernetidae.